GGACUACUAGGGUAUCUAAUCCCGUUUGCUCCCCUGGCUUUCGCGCCUCAGCGUCAGAAGAGGUCCAGCGCGCCGCUUUCGCCACCGGUGUUCCUUCCGAUAUCUACGCAUUUCACCGCUCCACCGGAAGUUCCGCACGCCCCUACCUCCCUCCAGGCCGCCAGUAUCAAAGGCACUUCCACGGUUGAGCCGUGGGCUUUCACCCCUGACUUAGCAGCCCGCCUACGCGCCCUUUAAGCCCAGUGAUUCCGAACAACGUUCGCACGGUUCGUCUUACCGCGGCUGCUGGCAC
RNAcentral lists this ribosomal RNA (292 nucleotides) under uncultured Planctomycetota bacterium. Its description in RNAcentral is "uncultured planctomycete partial 16S ribosomal RNA". The record is from RNAcentral. Lineage: Bacteria; Pseudomonadati; Planctomycetota.